GACGAACGCUGGCGGCGUGCUUAACACAUGCAAGUCGAACGGUGAAAGCGGAGCUUGCUCCGCUGGAUCAGUGGCGAACGGGUGAGUAACACGUGGGCAACCUGCCCCUCACUUCGGGAUAACUCCGGAAAACCGGGGCUAAUACCGGAUGCGACCUCCUUGGGCAUCCUGGGAGGUGGAAAGUUUUUCGGUGAGGGAUGGGCCCGCGGCCUAUCAGCUUGUUGGUGAGGUAGUGGCUCACCAAGGCGACGACGGGUAGCCGGCCGGAGAGGGCGACCGGCCACACUGGGACGGAGACACGGCCCAGACUCCUACGGGAGGCAGCAGUGGGGAAUAUUGCGCAAUGGGCGAAAGCCUGACGCAGCAACGCCGCGUGCGGGAUGAAGGCCUUCGGGUUGUAAACCGCUUUCAGCAGGGAAGAAGCCGCAAGGUGACGGUACCUGCAGAAGAAGCACCGGCUAACUACGUGCCAGCCGCCGCAGUAA
RNAcentral lists this ribosomal RNA (485 nucleotides) under uncultured bacterium. RNAcentral's name for it is "partial 16S ribosomal RNA". It matches the Rfam family "Bacterial small subunit ribosomal RNA", at positions 28 to 523 of the family's 1533-position model. The record is from RNAcentral.